CCCUUAGAUGUCCUGGGCCGCACGCGCGCUACACUGAGUGUCUGAGAUACGAGUCUGCCUGGUCCGGCAAGGUCUAGGUAAUCGCUAAAAGACACAUCAUGCUUGGGAUAGAUUAUUGCAAAUAUUAAUCUUGAACGAGGAAUUCCUAGUAAGCGCAAGUCAACAGCUUGCGUUGAUUACGUCCCUGCCCUUUGUACACACCGCCCGUCGCUACUACUGAUUGGAUGUUUAAGCGAGGUUCUCGAACUGCUAGCGACUUAGCUUCGGUGAGGUCGCAGUGCGGGAAGUGAACCGAGCUUUGGUGUCUAGAGGAAGUAAAAGUCGUAACA
Molecule: ribosomal RNA, 329 nt
Filed under: uncultured eukaryote
Lineage: Eukaryota
Description: partial 18S ribosomal RNA
Rfam family: Eukaryotic small subunit ribosomal RNA
Source: RNAcentral